CGGCCCAGACUCCUACGGGAGGCAGCAGUGGGGAAUAUUGGACAAUGGGGGAAACCCUGAUCCAGCAAUGCCGCGUGAGUGAAGAAGGCCUUCGGGUUGUAAAGCUCUUUUGUCAGGGAAGAAACGGUAGAGGCUAAUAUCCUUUGCUAAUGACGGUACCUGAAGAAUAAGCACCGGCUAACUACGUGCCAGCAGCCGCGGUAAUACGUAGGGUGCAAGCGUUAAUCGGAAUUACUGGGCGUAAAGCGUGCGCAGGCGGUUGUGUAAGACAG
Molecule: ribosomal RNA, 272 nt
Filed under: Heterosigma akashiwo
Lineage: Eukaryota; Raphidophyceae; Chattonellales; Chattonellaceae
Description: partial Bacterial small subunit ribosomal RNA
Rfam family: Bacterial small subunit ribosomal RNA
Source: RNAcentral